CCUACGGGGGGCUGCAGUGGGGAAUAUUGGACAAUGGGGGGAACCCUGAUCCAGCCAUGCCGCGUGUGUGAAGAAGGCCCUCGGGUUGUAAAGCACUUUCAGUGAGGAAGAACGCCUGGUGGUUAAUACCCAUCAGGAAAGACAUCACCCACAGAAGAAGCACCGGCUAACUCCGUGCCAGCAGCCGCGGUAAUACGGAGGGUGCGAGCGUUAAUCGGAAUUACUGGGCGUAAAGCGCGCGUAGGUGGCUUGAUAAGCCGGUUGUGAAAGCCCCGGGCUCAACCUGGGAACGGCAUCCGGAACUGUCGAGCUAGAGUGCAGGAGAGGAAGGUAGAAUUCCCGGUGUAGCGGUGAAAUGCGUAGAGAUCGGGAGGAAUACCAGUGGCGAAGGCGGCCUUCUGGACUGACACUGACGCUGAGGUGCGAAAGCGUGGGUAGCAAACAGGAUUAGAUACCCCUGUAGUC
Molecule: ribosomal RNA, 465 nt
Filed under: Vreelandella stevensii
Lineage: Bacteria; Pseudomonadati; Pseudomonadota; Gammaproteobacteria; Oceanospirillales; Halomonadaceae
Description: partial 16S ribosomal RNA
Rfam family: Bacterial small subunit ribosomal RNA
Source: RNAcentral